This 344-nucleotide ribosomal RNA is filed under the name uncultured bacterium. RNAcentral's name for it is "bacterial SSU rRNA". It matches the Rfam family "Bacterial small subunit ribosomal RNA", at positions 331 to 691 of the family's 1533-position model. The record is from RNAcentral.
UCGAUUUCCUACGGGAGGCAGCAGCUAAGAAUCUUGCGCAAUGGGCGAAAGCCUGACGCAGCAAUUCCGCGUGGGGGACGAAGGCCCUAGGGUCGUAAACCCCUUUUGCGAGGGAAGAAGUUCUGACGGUACCUCGCGAAUAAGCCACGGCUAACUACGUGCCAGCAGCCGCGGUAAUACGUAGGUGGCGAGCGUUGUCCGGAUUUAUUGGGCGUAAAGAGCCCGCAGGCGGCUUGGAAAGUUUCGAGUGAAAUCUCCCGGCUCAACUGGGAGGGCGCCCGGAAAACUACCAGGCUUGAGGCAGGAGAGGGAUGUGGAAUUCCCGGUGUAGUGGUGAAAUGCUA